This 253-nucleotide ribosomal RNA is filed under the name uncultured bacterium. RNAcentral describes it as "partial 16S ribosomal RNA". It matches the Rfam family "Bacterial small subunit ribosomal RNA", at positions 524 to 776 of the family's 1533-position model. The record is from RNAcentral.
UACAGAGGUCCCAAGCGUUGUUCGGAUUCACUGGGCGUAAAGGGUGCGUAGGCGGUCGGGUAAGUCUGAUGUGAAAUCUCCGAGCCUAACUCGGAAACUGCAUUGGAUACUAUUCGGCUUGAGUGUAGGAGAGGUGGGCGGAAUUCCAGGUGUAGCGGUGAAAUGCGUAGAUAUCUGGAGGAACACCGGUGGCGAAGGCGGCAUCCUGGACCGGCAUUGACGCUGAGGAGCGAAAGCCAGGGGAGCAAACGGG